CCUACGGGUGGCAGCAGUGGGGAAUAUUGCACAAUGGGCGCAACCCUGAUGCAGCGACGCCGCGUGAGUGAAGAAGUAUUUCGGUAUGUAAAGCUCUAUCAGCAGGGAAGAAAUGAAGUCCUUCGGACUUUGGUCGUUACCUGACUAAGAAUCCGCGGCUAACUACUUGCCAGCAGCCGCCGUAAUACGUAGGGGGCAAGGGUUAUCCGGAUUUACUGGGUGUAAAGGGAGCGUAGACGGCAGGGCAAGUCGGUAGUGAAAGCCCAUGGCUUAACCAUGGAACUGCUUUGGAAACUGUGAAGCUGGAGUGCAGUAGAGGUAAGCGGAAUUCCUAGUGUAGCGGUGAAAUGCGUAGAUAUUAGGAGGAACACCAGUGGCGAAGGCGGCUUACUGGACUGCCACUGACGUUGAGGCUCGAAAGCGUGGGGAGCAAACAGGAUUAGAUACCCUAGUAGUC
This 457-nucleotide ribosomal RNA is filed under the name uncultured bacterium. RNAcentral describes it as "partial 16S ribosomal RNA". It matches the Rfam family "Bacterial small subunit ribosomal RNA", at positions 338 to 795 of the family's 1533-position model. The record is from RNAcentral.